RNAcentral lists this ribosomal RNA (560 nucleotides) under uncultured bacterium. RNAcentral describes it as "bacterial SSU rRNA". It matches the Rfam family "Bacterial small subunit ribosomal RNA", at positions 362 to 917 of the family's 1533-position model. The record is from RNAcentral.
UAUUCNAUGGGCGCAGCCUGAUGGAGCGACACCGCGUGAAGGACGAAGGUCUUCGGAUUGUAAACUUCUUUAGACCUAGAUGAAGGCAACGGGGUGAACAAUCCCGUUGUUUGACAGUAUAGGUAGAAUAAGCCACGGCUAACUCUGUGCCAGCAGCCGCGGUAAUACAGAGGUGGCAAACGUUGUCCGGAUUUAUUGGGUGUAAAGGGCAUGUAGGUGGUCUUGUAAGUCAAAGGUGAAAUGGCCCGGCUUAACCAGGUCAUUGCCUUUGAAACUGCAGGGCUUGAGUACGGAAGAGGAAAGCGGAAUUCCCAGUGUAGCGGUGAAAUGCGUAGAUAUUGGGAGGAACACCGGUGGCGAAGGCGGCUUUCUGGUCCGAAACUGACACUGAGAUGCGAAAGCCAGGGGAGCAAACGGGAUUAGAUACCCCGGUAGUCCUGGCCGUAAACGAUGAGAACUAGGUGUUAGAGGUAUCCACUCCUCUAGUGCCGCAGCUAACGCAUUAAGUUCUCCACCUGGGGACUACGACCGCAAGGUUGAAACUCAAAAAAAUUGACGGA